This 335-nucleotide non-coding RNA is filed under the name Streptomyces afghaniensis 772. RNAcentral describes it as "Bacterial large subunit ribosomal RNA". It matches the Rfam family "Bacterial large subunit ribosomal RNA", at positions 369 to 689 of the family's 2925-position model. The record is from Rfam by way of RNAcentral. Lineage: Bacteria; Bacillati; Actinomycetota; Actinomycetes; Kitasatosporales; Streptomycetaceae.
ACCCCCGUAGUCGAAACGUCAGCGGCUCGUUUGAGAGACACCCAAGUAGCACGGGGCCCGAGAAAUCCCGUGUGAAUCUGGCGGGACCACCCGCUAAGCCUAAAUAUUCCCUGGUGACCGAUAGCGGAUAGUACCGUGAGGGAAUGGUGAAAAGUACCGCGGGAGCGGAGUGAAAUAGUACCUGAAACCGUGUGCCUACAAGCCGUGGGAGCGUCGGAUGGAAGCUUGCUUCCAUCUCGUGACUGCGUGCCUUUUGAAGAAUGAGCCUGCGUAGUUUGCGGUGUGUUGCGACGGUUAACCCGGUGGGUAAGCCGUAGCGAAAGCGAGUCCGAAGU